Molecule: ribosomal RNA, 396 nt
Filed under: uncultured bacterium
Lineage: Bacteria
Description: partial 16S ribosomal RNA
Rfam family: Bacterial small subunit ribosomal RNA
Source: RNAcentral
AUACGUAGGGUGCGAGCGUUGUCCGGAAUUACUGGGUGUAAAGGGAGCGUAGGCGGGAGUGCAAGUCAGAUGUGAAAUACAUGGGCUCAACCCAUGGGCUGCAUUUGAAACUGCAUUUCUUGAGUGAAGUAGAGGUAAGCGGAAUUCCUGGUGUAGCGGUGAAAUGCGUAGAUAUCAGGAGGAACACCGGUGGCGAAGGCGGCUUACUGGGCUUUUACUGACGCUGAGGCUCGAAAGCGUGGGGAGCAAACAGGAUUAGAUACCCUGGUAGUCCACGCUGUAAACGAUGAUUACUAGGUGUGGGGGGACUGACCCCUUCCGUGCCGCAGUUAACACAAUAAGUAAUCCACCUGGGGAGUGCGGCCGCAAGGUUGAAACUCAAAUGAAUUGACGGGG